AAAGCAGGCUCACGCUUGAAUACAUUAGCAUGGAAUAAUGAAAUAGGACGUUUGAUUCUAUUUUGUUGGUUUCUAGGAUCGACGUAAUGAUUAAUAGGGAUAGUUGGGGGCAUUAGUAUUCAAUUGUCAGAGGUGAAAUUCUUGGAUUUAUUGAAGACUAACUACUGCGAAAGCAUUUGCCAAGGAUGUUUUCAUUAAUCAAGAACGAAGGUUAGGGGAUCGAAGACGAUCAGAUACCGUCGUAGUCUUAACCAUAAACUAUGCCGACUAGGGAUCGGAUGAUGUUAAUUUUUUUAAUGACUCAUUCGGCGCCUUACGG
RNAcentral lists this ribosomal RNA (319 nucleotides) under uncultured Entrophospora. RNAcentral's name for it is "SSU rRNA". It matches the Rfam family "Eukaryotic small subunit ribosomal RNA", at positions 777 to 1093 of the family's 1831-position model. Lineage: Eukaryota; Fungi; Glomeromycota; Glomeromycetes; Entrophosporales; Entrophosporaceae. The record is from RNAcentral.